UUUCCGUAGGUGAACCUGCGGAAGGAUCAUUACUGAGUGAGGGCCCUCUGGGUCCAACCUCCCACCCGUGUUUAUUGUACCUUGUUGCUUCGGUGAGCCCGCCUCACGGCCGCCGGGGGGCAUCUGCCCCCGGGCCCGCGCUCGCCGGAGACACCCUUGAACUCUGUCUGAAGUUUGCAGUCUGAGCGAAAACUAAAUAAGUUAAAACUUUCAACAACGGAUCUCUUGGUUCCG
RNAcentral lists this unclassified non-coding RNA (234 nucleotides) under plant metagenome. RNAcentral's name for it is "partial contains small subunit ribosomal RNA, internal transcribed spacer 1, and 5.8S ribosomal RNA". The record is from RNAcentral.